This 601-nucleotide long non-coding RNA is filed under the name Rattus norvegicus (Norway rat). RNAcentral describes it as "long non-coding RNA NONRATT009615". Lineage: Eukaryota; Metazoa; Chordata; Mammalia; Rodentia; Muridae. The record is from RNAcentral.
CAGGGGGAGUUGGAAAGUGGGAUGGACACAGUCAAGACACAAUGCAUAUAUAAAACUGUCAAAGACAUUCAAUAACGACAUCUCUCGGGAAUGGACUCCCCACAGCAGCUGGCCUACUGCAGAAGAUCCGGCCAGUCCCAGUUUCAGCCCGGACUAAGGAGCUCUGAGAGUCGUCCCGCCACUGAGAAGCUGCUGACCGCUCCCAGCCACCGAGGACAGGCCACUUUUGGGUAUGAUCAUGGCCGGUGGGUAACCCCAUGUCCAUUCAUACAUGGUUAGCUUUAACUGGUCUUGGAGCUACAGACAUUUUGUUUUUAAAGACUCGGAGAGAUGGCUCAGCAGUUAAGAGAGCAGAGCUCUUGCAAAGGUCCUGCCUCACUGCCCAGAGCUUGUCAGGCAACUCUCCACCUUCCGCAACUCCAUUUCCAGAGGACAUGGUGCCCUCAAGAGGCACCUGCACACAUGUGGUGCACAUACAUUCACACAAGUCACACACAUGCACACCCAUAAACAAACAAAUCUUUACAAAAAUAAGAGAUGAGGUUGGGAGGGAGAUGGCUGGUGGGUAAGACUACACAUGUACCAAAAAAAAAAAAAAAAA